ACCGGCGAUGUCCGAAUGGGGAAACCCAGUGCAAUUCGUUGCACUAUCGUUAACUGAAUACAUAGGUUAACGAGGCGAACCGGGGGAACUGAAACAUCUAAGUACCCCGAGGAAAAGAAAUCAACCGAGAUUCCCCCAGUAGCGGCGAGCGAACGGGGAGCAGCCCAGAGUCUGAAUCAGCUUGUGUGUUAGUGGAACGGUCUGGAAAGUCCGACGGUACAGGGUGAUAGUC
Molecule: ribosomal RNA, 232 nt
Filed under: Klebsiella pneumoniae
Lineage: Bacteria; Pseudomonadati; Pseudomonadota; Gammaproteobacteria; Enterobacterales; Enterobacteriaceae
Description: partial 23S ribosomal RNA
Rfam family: Bacterial large subunit ribosomal RNA
Source: RNAcentral